This 301-nucleotide ribosomal RNA is filed under the name uncultured bacterium. RNAcentral describes it as "partial 16S ribosomal RNA". It matches the Rfam family "Bacterial small subunit ribosomal RNA", at positions 509 to 807 of the family's 1533-position model. The record is from RNAcentral.
CAGCCGCCACGGUAAUACGAGGGGGGCAAGCGUUGUUCGGAAUUAUUGGGCGUAAAGGGCGCGUAGGCGGUUUGGCAAGUUUGGUGUGAAAUCUUCGGGCUCAACUCGAAGUCUGCAUCGAAAACUGCCGGGCUUGAGUAUGGGAGAGGUGAGUGGAAUUUCCGGUGUAGCGGUGAAAUGCGUAGAUAUCGGAAGGAACACCUGUGGCGAAAGCGGCUCACUGGACCAUAACUGACGCUGAGGCGCGAAAGCUAGGGGAGCAAACAGGAUUAGAUACCCGCGUAGUCCCUGUCUCUUAUAC